CCUACGGGAGGCAGCAGUGAGGAAUAUUGGACAAUGGGCGCAAGCCUGAUCCAGCCAUGCCGCGUGCAGGAAGAAGCAUCUAUGGUGUGUAAACUGCUUUUGUACAGGAAGAAACACUCCCUCGUGAGGGAGCUUGACGGUACUGUAAGAAUAAGGACCGGCUAACUCCGUGCCAGCAGCCGCGGUAAUACGGAGGGUCCGAGCGUUAUCCGGAAUCAUUGGGUUUAAAGGGUCCGUAGGCGGUUUAAUAAGUCAGUGGUGAAAUCUGGUCGCUCAACGAUCAAACGGCCAUUGAUACUGUUAGACUUGAAUUAUAAGGAAGUAACUAGAAUAUGUAGUGUAGCGGUGAAAUGCUUAGAUAUUACAUGGAAUACCAAUUGCGAAGGCAGGUUACUACUUAUGGAUUGACGCUGAUGGACGAAAGCGUGGGGAGCGAACAGGAUUAGAUACCCUGGUAGUCCACGCCGUAAACCGAUGGAUACUAGCUGUUCGGAGCAAUCUGAGUGGCUAAGCGAAAGUGAUAAGUAUCCCACCUGGGGAGUACGUUCGCAAGAANGAAACGUCAAAUGAAUUGACGG
RNAcentral lists this ribosomal RNA (578 nucleotides) under uncultured bacterium. RNAcentral's name for it is "bacterial SSU rRNA". It matches the Rfam family "Bacterial small subunit ribosomal RNA", at positions 338 to 916 of the family's 1533-position model. The record is from RNAcentral.